AAGAAGGCCUUAGGGUUGUAAAGCUCUUUCAGGGGUGAGGAUUAUGACAGUAACCCCAGAAGAAGCACCGGCUAACUUCGUGCCAGCAGCCGCGGUAAUACGAAGGGUGCAAGCGUUGUUCGGAAUCACUGGGCGUAAAGGGCGUGUAGGCGGACUGACAAGUUAGAGGUGAAAGCCCCGGGCCCAACCUGGGAACUGCCUUUAAAACUGUUAGUCUAGAAUCCGGGAGGGGAGUGUGGAAUUCCUAGUGUAGAGGUGAAAUUCGUAGAUAUUAGGAAGAACACCGGUGGCGAAGGCGACACUCUGGACCGGUAUUGACGCUGAGGCGCGAAAGCGUGGGGAGCAAACAGGAUUAGAUACCCUGGUAGUCCACGCCGUAAACGAUGUCUGCUAGCCGCUGGGGCACUUAGUGCUUCGGUGGCGCCGCUAACGCAUUAAGCAGCCGCCUGG
Molecule: ribosomal RNA, 450 nt
Filed under: uncultured Alphaproteobacteria bacterium
Lineage: Bacteria; Pseudomonadati; Pseudomonadota; Alphaproteobacteria
Description: bacterial SSU rRNA
Rfam family: Bacterial small subunit ribosomal RNA
Source: RNAcentral